RNAcentral lists this ribosomal RNA (369 nucleotides) under uncultured bacterium. RNAcentral describes it as "bacterial SSU rRNA". It matches the Rfam family "Bacterial small subunit ribosomal RNA", at positions 434 to 793 of the family's 1533-position model. The record is from RNAcentral.
CAGUAGGGAGGAAGGUAGUGUAGUUAACACCUGCAUUAUUUGACGUUACCUACAGAAGAAGCACCGGCUAACUCCGUGCCAGCAGCCGCGGUAAUACGGAGGGUGCGAGCGUUAAUCGGAAUUACUGGGCGUAAAGCGCAUGCAGGCGGCCUGUUAAGUCAGAUGUGAAAGACCCGGGGCGUUAACCUCGGAAUUGCAUUUGAAACUAGGCAGGCUAGAGUCUUGUAGAGGGGGGUAGGAAUUUCAGGUGUAGCGGUGAAAUGCGUAGAGAUCUGAAGGAAUACCAGUGGCGAAGGCGGCCCCCUCGGACAAAGACUGACGCUCAGAUGCGAAAGCGUGGGGAGCAAACAGGAUUAGAUACCCUGGUAG